RNAcentral lists this long non-coding RNA (216 nucleotides) under Homo sapiens (human). RNAcentral's name for it is "non-protein coding lnc-ESD-2:1". Lineage: Eukaryota; Metazoa; Chordata; Mammalia; Primates; Hominidae. The record is from RNAcentral.
CCUCAUAGGGUACCGGUGGCCUCUGCCGAGCAAGCUUUGUGCAGUCUGGAUUUACCUGGACGUGCUCUUCUCCACGGCCUCCAUCAUGCACCUCUGCGCCAUCUCGCUGGACCGCUACGUCGCCAUCCAGAAUCCCAUCCACCACAGCCGCUUCAACUCCAGAACUAAGGCAUUUCUGAAAAUCAUUGCUGUUUGGACCAUAUCAGUAGGUAAGUG